RNAcentral lists this transfer RNA (87 nucleotides) under Deltaproteobacteria bacterium. RNAcentral describes it as "tRNA-Ser". It matches the Rfam family "tRNA". From Rfam's summary of the family: Transfer RNA (tRNA) molecules are approximately 80 nucleotides in length. Their secondary structure includes four short double-helical elements and three loops (D, anti-codon, and T loops). The record is from RNAcentral. Lineage: Bacteria; Pseudomonadati; Myxococcota; Myxococcia.
GGAGGAGUGGCCGAGCGGCUUAAGGCGGCUGUCUUGAAAACAGCUAGGGGCGAGAGCCCCUCGCAGGUUCGAAUCCUGCCUCCUCCG